Molecule: ribosomal RNA, 444 nt
Filed under: uncultured soil bacterium
Lineage: Bacteria
Description: bacterial SSU rRNA
Rfam family: Bacterial small subunit ribosomal RNA
Source: RNAcentral
AGAAUGAACGCUGGCGGCAUGCCUAACACAUGCAAGUCGAACGUGCACCUUCGGGUGUGCGUGGCGCACGGGUGCGUAACGCGUGGGAAUCUGCCCUUGGGUUCGGAAUAACAGUGAGAAAUUACUGAUAAUACCGGAUGAUGUCGCAAGACCAAAGAUUUAUCGCCCAGGGAUGAGCCCGCGUAGGAUUAGCUAGUUGGUGAGGUAAAGGCUCACCAAGGCGACGAUCCUUAGCUGGUCUGAGAGGAUGAUCAGCCACACUGGGACUGAGACACGGCCCAGACUCCUACGGGAGGCAGCAGUGGGGAAUAUUGGACAAUGGGCGAAAGCCUGAUCCAGCAAUGCCGCGUGAGUGAUGAAGGCCUUAGGGUGUAAAGCUCUUUUACCGGAUGAUAAUGACAGUACCGGAGAAUAAGCUCCGGCUAACUCCGCGCCAGCAAGCCG